Molecule: non-coding RNA, 88 nt
Organism: Caerostris darwini
Lineage: Eukaryota; Metazoa; Arthropoda; Arachnida; Araneae; Araneidae
Source: the annotation of a GenBank genome assembly
ACGGUUCUCGUUCGAUCACCGAAGUAAAGCAUCAUUGGGCGCGGUCAGUACUUGGGUGGGUGACCACCUGGGAACACCGUGUGCCGUU